RNAcentral lists this transfer RNA (71 nucleotides) under Fidelibacterota bacterium. Its description in RNAcentral is "tRNA-Gly". It matches the Rfam family "tRNA". From Rfam's summary of the family: Transfer RNA (tRNA) molecules are approximately 80 nucleotides in length. The record is from RNAcentral. Lineage: Bacteria; Pseudomonadati; Fidelibacterota. RNAcentral also lists the same sequence under 1 other name.
GCGGAUGUAGUUCAAUGGCAGAACACCAGCUUCCCAAGUUGGAUACGUGAGUUCGAUUCUCAUCAUCCGCU